Molecule: microRNA, 21 nt
Filed under: Gallus gallus (chicken)
Lineage: Eukaryota; Metazoa; Chordata; Aves; Galliformes; Phasianidae
Description: gga-let-7l-3p
Gene: gga-let-7l-3p
Source: miRBase by way of RNAcentral
CGAUGCAGCCGACUACUUUCC